This 120-nucleotide ribosomal RNA is filed under the name uncultured bacterium. Its description in RNAcentral is "partial 16S ribosomal RNA". It matches the Rfam family "Bacterial small subunit ribosomal RNA", at positions 796 to 916 of the family's 1533-position model. The record is from RNAcentral.
CACGCCGUAAACGAUGAAUGCCAGUCGUCGGGCAGCAUGCUGUUCGGUGACACACCUAACGGAUUAAGCAUUCCGCCUGGGGAGUACGGCCGCAAGGUUAAAACUCAAAGGAAUUGACGG